This is a long non-coding RNA of Fopius arisanus, 475 nucleotides long. RefSeq lists it as uncharacterized. The record is from RefSeq and is a predicted model, not a curated record. The transcript is spliced from 2 exons. Lineage: Eukaryota; Metazoa; Arthropoda; Insecta; Hymenoptera; Braconidae.
CGCAAACGCCCAAUAAACUGUCUUCAAGAUUAUAAUCCCCAUAUUUAUCAUCGAAUUUUUUCAGUCUUCCAUCGAUGAUAGCCGUAAAAAAUGGGUUACAGAGUUCGCAAGAGGAUCAAGAUUAAAUAAAAAGAUAACGUGCACCGAAUAAAUAUGAAUAGAGCACUAAACUCGAUCGCAAAAUCUCCAAUUCCCAGAAAACCUAAAAAAUCAUAACUAUUAAAAGAAUCAUUGAAGAGUGUGAUUGAAACAUCAUCAUUUUACCCAAGUGACCAGUGAAAAAUUAUUGCAACAUUGAUUCCAUAAAUCUCAGUCUCACCAAAUGAACAGUAUUAAUUAUUUGUACAUCGUGGUAUGAAUUAUGGACAAAUUGGCGAGGUUAUGACGACCGAUAGAAAGAAGGUCUCAAUGGAAAUGUCUCUCUGACGAAUGGAUUGUACUCGUUACAAUAGACAAUUUAUUAAUUUAAACAAAA